Sitophilus oryzae (rice weevil) is the source of this 531-nucleotide long non-coding RNA. RefSeq lists it as uncharacterized. Lineage: Eukaryota; Metazoa; Arthropoda; Insecta; Coleoptera; Curculionidae. The transcript is spliced from 2 exons. The record is from RefSeq and is a predicted model, not a curated record.
UAUUUGAAUUUUGAGCUUCGAACCAACCACAUCAAGUUUGUUAACAAACGAAAUACCAAUUUAAGUAGUUUUUAUCAGUGUUUUUAAAAGAAAACAAUGUAUACCAAUCCUUUCAGUCGUACUCACAGCCACGUGCGUCAAGUGAUCGACAAAUUCCUCUACAUUCAUCAUGGCAAAAGCGUCAAAUAUGUCCAUUCUGCAUCAGACAGUUCAAGCAAUGGGCAAUGUUCGUCGAAAAAGCAUGUGAAUAACAAUUGUGCCAGGUUUUCUGUGGUUAAGUGACCCCUCCCAGUUGAGAGCAUUUUGGAAAAUGGAUAUAUUUGAUGGAUGGUUGCCAUCAUAGAUGAUUUAUUGAUGGCCAUUCUUCAGCUAUAACUCGACAAUAGAUAGGAGCCGCAAGGGAGAAGCAAGCUAAACAUUACCAUGCUUCAUACGCUUUUCAAAUUCUACAGAAAAUAAAAUAAAAUACUAAAAUUACGGUUUAUUAUACAUUAUUAUUAGUAAAAAUAAAAUAUUUUUAUGCAUAUAAAA